This 482-nucleotide ribosomal RNA is filed under the name uncultured bacterium. Its description in RNAcentral is "partial 16S ribosomal RNA". It matches the Rfam family "Bacterial small subunit ribosomal RNA", at positions 28 to 507 of the family's 1533-position model. The record is from RNAcentral.
GAUGAACGCUAGCGGCAGGCCUAAUACAUGCAAGUCGGACGGGAUUCAGGAGCUUGCUUCUGAUGAGAGUGGCGCACGGGUGCGUAACACGUAUGUAACCUACCUUUAUCAGGGGGAUAGCCUCUCGAAAGAGAGAUUAAGCCCGCAUAAAAUCACAGCACAGCAUUGUGUAAUGAUCAAAUAUUUAUAGGAUAAAGAUGGGCAUGCGGAACAUUAGCUAGAUGGCGGGGUAACGGCCCACCAUGGCGACGAUGUUUAGGGGAUCUGAGAGGAUGGCCCCCCACACUGGUACUGAGACACGGACCAGACUCCUACGGGGGGCAGCAGUAAGGAAGAUUGGUCAAUGGGCGGAAGCCUGAACCAGCCAUGCCGCGUGCAGGAAGACGGCCCUACGGGUUGUAAACUGCUUUUAUACGGGAAUAAACCCAGAUACGUGUAUCUGGCUGAAUGUACUGUAAGAAUAAGGAUCGGCUAACUCCGUG